UAGCUCAGUUGGUUAGAGCACAUCACUCAUAAUGAUGGGGUCCCUAGUUCGAAUCUAG
This 58-nucleotide transfer RNA is filed under the name Methylophaga nitratireducenticrescens. RNAcentral describes it as "tRNA-Met". It matches the Rfam family "tRNA", at positions 8 to 62 of the family's 71-position model. From Rfam's summary of the family: Transfer RNA (tRNA) molecules are approximately 80 nucleotides in length. Their secondary structure includes four short double-helical elements and three loops (D, anti-codon, and T loops). Further hydrogen bonds mediate the characteristic L-shaped molecular structure. tRNAs have two regions of fundamental functional importance: the anti-codon, which is responsible for specific mRNA codon recognition, and the 3' end, to which the tRNAs corresponding amino acid is attached (by aminoacyl-tRNA synthetases). tRNAs cope with the degeneracy of the genetic code in two manners: having more than one tRNA (with a specific anti-codon) for a particular amino acid; and 'wobble' base-pairing, i.e. permitting non-standard base-pairing at the 3rd anti-codon position. Lineage: Bacteria; Pseudomonadati; Pseudomonadota; Gammaproteobacteria; Thiotrichales; Piscirickettsiaceae. The record is from RNAcentral.